RNAcentral lists this ribosomal RNA (253 nucleotides) under uncultured bacterium. Its description in RNAcentral is "partial 16S ribosomal RNA". It matches the Rfam family "Bacterial small subunit ribosomal RNA", at positions 524 to 776 of the family's 1533-position model. The record is from RNAcentral.
UACGUAGGGGGCAAGCGUUGUCCGGAUUUAUUGGGCGUAAAGAGCGUGUAGGCGGCCAUGUAGGUCCGUUGUGAAAACUCGAGGCUCAACCUCGAGACGCCGAUGGAAACCAUGUGGCUCGAGUCCGGAAGAGGAGAGUGGAAUUCCCGGUGUAGCGGUGAAAUGCGCAGAUAUCGGGAAGAACACCCGUGGCUAAGGCGGCUCUCUAGUACGGUACUGACGCUGAGACGCGAAAGCGUGGGGAGCGAACAGG